UGGGGAAUAUUGGACAAUGGGGGGAACCCUGAUCCAGCCAUGCCGCGUGUGUGAAGAAGGCCUUAUGGUUGUAAAGCACUUUAAGCAGUGAAGAAUACAUCAUGGCUAAUAUCCGUGAUGAAUGACAUUAGCUGCAGAAUAAGCACCGGCUAACUCUGUGCCAGCAGCCGCGGUAAUACAGAGGGUGCGAGCGUUAAUCGGAAUUACUGGGCGUAAAGCGAGCGUAGGUGGUUUAUUAAGUCAGAUGUGAAAUCCCUGGGCUUAACCUAAGAACUGCAUCUGAUACUGACAAACUAGAGUAGGUGAGAGGAAAGUAGAAUUCCAGGUGUAGCGGUGAAAUGCGUAGAGAUCUGGAGGAAUACCGAUGGCGAAGGCAGCUUUCUGGCAUCAUACUGACACUGAGGUUCGAAAGCGUGGGUAGCAAACAGGAUUAGAUACCCUGGUAGUCCACGCCGUAAACGAUGUCUACCAGUCGUUGGGUCUUUUAAAGACUUAGUGACGCAGUUAACGCGAUAAGUAGACCGCCUGGGGAGUACGGCCGCAAGGUUA
This 549-nucleotide ribosomal RNA is filed under the name uncultured bacterium. Its description in RNAcentral is "bacterial SSU rRNA". It matches the Rfam family "Bacterial small subunit ribosomal RNA", at positions 355 to 896 of the family's 1533-position model. The record is from RNAcentral.